AGAAACUUAGGUUACACUUAAACCAAGAGCCUUCAAAGCCCUAAAGAAGAGAUCACCACCUCUUAGUUUCUG
Molecule: transfer RNA, 72 nt
Filed under: Nephrurus levis
Lineage: Eukaryota; Metazoa; Chordata; Lepidosauria; Squamata; Carphodactylidae
Description: tRNA-Trp
Source: RNAcentral